This 357-nucleotide ribosomal RNA is filed under the name uncultured bacterium. RNAcentral's name for it is "bacterial SSU rRNA". It matches the Rfam family "Bacterial small subunit ribosomal RNA", at positions 29 to 386 of the family's 1533-position model. The record is from RNAcentral.
AAUGAACGUUGGCGGCGUGGAUUAGGCAUGCAAGUCGAGCGAGAACCCGCAAGGGGGACAGCGGCGAACGGGGUAGGACAACGUAGGUAACGUACCCUCGGGGCGAGGACAGCCACGGGAAACUGUGGGUAAUACUCGAUAAUGUUCCCAAUCAUGAUCGAAGGGGAACCAAUGGGUGGUGAUUCCACCCGGGGAGCGGCUUACGCAGUAUCAGCUUGUUGGUGAGGUAACGGCUCACCAAGGCGAUGACGCUUAGGGGAUGUGAGAGCAUGACUCCCCACCACUGGCACUGAGACACUGGCCAGACACCUACGGGUGGCUGCAGUCGAGAAUCUUCGGCAAUGGACGCAAGUCUGA